Molecule: ribosomal RNA, 1687 nt
Filed under: Triticum aestivum (bread wheat)
Lineage: Eukaryota; Viridiplantae; Streptophyta; Magnoliopsida; Poales; Poaceae
Description: partial small subunit ribosomal RNA
Source: RNAcentral
AUCACCACCUCGUUCCCACGGGCCGAAUAUUCGCCCCAUAUGCGGAACCGGGUGAGACCUCCAAAACGAGCGGACCACGCGGAACCGGCUCUCUCCUUGCACUCCCCGGUCCUAUCGCCUCUCCUACCUGCUGCGCCGCCUCCCGCUCGUCUCUCACUCCCUCGAUCUGCGCCGCACCGCCCACCCCGAUUCAUUCCCUCACCGCCGGCCAACUCCUCUCUCGAUCUGCAGCGCUGCUCCACCUCCGGUCCCUGAUCUGGCCAUCCCAGGCUCAUCCCUCGUCUCCCUGUGGCGGGCCGAUUCCCUGGCUCGCGGCAGAUGGAUUUCUGGUGGCGCUCCUUAGCAGCAGCGCCCUGCGGCGGAUCAAUUCCCUCGCUGCUUGCGGCGGCGGCGGCGGCCGUGGAGGAGUAGAGCCGCAACCACGGAGCAGCAGCAGCAGCUGAGCCUGGCAGCGGAGCAGCAGCAACAGAGAGCAGCAUCGGCUAGUACAGAGACAAGUAUAGCAGCAGUAUGAGAAUUGCAGGAACUCAUGCCCAUGCCGCGGAUCACGGGAGGGCAGUUUCUUCCACUCCACGACGACACCAAGCGAUCUGCAUCGACCUCACGCCCCCUGCCAUGACUCCAUGAAGCGAAGGCCCUCAACGACUCGCUACACACGGACGUGACCUCGGCCAGACGGGUCUGCAAUGGCGCGACCACAUCCAGAUGACUCCAUGUGUUGUUCGGCCAGCAUGCACCGCUUCUGGCCCCACGUCACAGGCAUAGCCUCCAGGCUAUCGAGGCAUUUUUUUUUUGGAAAAAGGGUGACUCCCCGGCCUCUGCAUCAGAAAGAUACAUACGGCCUUAGGCUAUCGAGGCAUGCGUGAUGCACUAGGACUCCAUGCAAAUCAGGGACUUCGGCUGACGGGCUGAGCGGCGACACGCAAGCAAUACUGCCCAUCCACGCACAUCUUCAUCUUCAUCUUCACCGACAGAGGAACGACGAACAGGAGCUUCGUCAUCCACUGUUUUGGUUACCGGUCGAAAUUUCAAAAUUUUUCAUGGUUACCGUGUAUUUCCGUGCCCCUCGGUAAAUCGCCAUACCGAGCAAAAUUUUUGAAUUUAAACACUCGAUUUACUGUAAAGUAUGCUAGGAUCUAAUUAAUGACAUGAGAGUUGGUGGUCUCCUCACCAUCGACCACGACUACCUCGACCACGGCUACAUCACCAUGAUCGGCUACCUCGACAUUGACAUUAAUGGCUACAUCUACAGCAACAUAUCGGCAACAACUCCAGUCAACAUGAUCCACGUCGUCACCAACGUUCACGCCACUCCUGCUGUGUCUGCGGGAGGGAAGAGAGAGGAGAGACAAGGAAGGCACUAGAAGGGGAUGCAGCCACCGCCCUGGGUGCCGACCCAUCAAAGAUGCACGUAAUGAUGGUGAAGCGGAGAAGACGACGCGAGCAUGAUACUUCAAAUUCAAUCGUAAUCAUCCGCUUCACUCCCGCUACGACUGAGGGGGAAUGUUAGAAGUAUAAACGUAGAGAUAAGGAGAGAUAGAGAUAAACUUAGUUUAAAUACAUAAUAUCUUGCCUUGUACUCUAAACCUCUACCCCUCGUGUACUUCUAUAUAUACCUCAUACAAGGGUCAGUUCAAUACAACGUAACAUAAUAUUCAUCCAUCCUACAAUUUUCACAAUAGGAACC